RNAcentral lists this ribosomal RNA (301 nucleotides) under uncultured bacterium. RNAcentral's name for it is "partial 16S ribosomal RNA". It matches the Rfam family "Bacterial small subunit ribosomal RNA", at positions 509 to 809 of the family's 1533-position model. The record is from RNAcentral.
CAGUAGCCGCGGGAAUACGUAGGUGGCAAGCGUUGUCCGGAAUUAUUGGGCGUAAAGGGCUCGCAGGCGGUUUCUUAAGUCUGAUGUGAAAGCCCCCGGCUCAACCGGGGAGGGUCAUUGGAAACUGGGAAACUUGAGUGCAGAAGAGGAGAGUGGAAUUCCACGUGUAGCGGUGAAAUGCGUAGAGAUGUGGAGGAACACCAGUGGCGAAGGCGACUCUCUGGUCUGUAACUGACGCUGAGGAGCGAAAGCGUGGGGAGCGAACAGGAUUAGAUACCCCAGUAGUCCCUGUCUCUUAUAA